Molecule: ribosomal RNA, 443 nt
Filed under: uncultured bacterium
Lineage: Bacteria
Description: partial 16S ribosomal RNA
Rfam family: Bacterial small subunit ribosomal RNA
Source: RNAcentral
CCUACGGGAGACAGCAGUGGGGAAUAUUGGGCAAUGGAGGCAACUCUGACCCAGCAACGCCGCGUGAAUGCUGAAGGUCUUCGGAUUGUCAAGUUCUGUGAUGGGGGAUGAACACAAUGACGGUCCCCCAAUAUCAAGCCACGGCUAACUACGUGCCAGCAGCCGCGGUACUACGUAGGUGGCAAGCGUUAUCCGGAAUGACUGGGCGUAAAGGGUGCGUAGGGGGUUUAGUAAGUUGGCGGUGUAAUUCCGGGGCUCAACCUCGGCGCUACCGCCAAAACUAUUAGACGAGAGUGCAGGAGGGGUAAGUGGAAUUCCUAGUGUAGCGGUGGAAUGCGUAGAUAUCAGGAGGAACAUCAGGGGCGAAGGCGACUUACUGGACUGUAACUGACACUGAGGCACGAAAGCGUGGGGAGCAAACAGGAUUAGAUACCCUAGUAGUC